This 496-nucleotide ribosomal RNA is filed under the name uncultured bacterium. RNAcentral describes it as "partial 16S ribosomal RNA". It matches the Rfam family "Bacterial small subunit ribosomal RNA", at positions 28 to 506 of the family's 1533-position model. The record is from RNAcentral.
GAUGAACGCUGGCGGCGUGCCUAAUACAUGCAAGUCGAGCGAACGGACGAGAAGCUUGCUUCUCUGAUGUUAGCGGCGGACGGGUGAGUAACACGUGGAUAACCUACCUAUAAGACUGGGAUAACUUCGGGAAACCGGAGCUAAUACCGGAUAAUAUUUUGAACCGCAUGGUUCAAAAGUGAAAGACGGUCUUGCUGUCACUUAUAGAUGGAUCCGCGCUGCAUUAGCUAGUUGGUAAGGUAACGGCUUACCAAGGCAACGAUGCAUAGCCGACCUGAGAGGGGGAUCGGCCACACUGGAACUGAGACACGGUCCAGACUCCUACGGGAGGCAGCAGGAGGGAAUCUUCCGCAGUGGGCGAAAGCCUGACGGAGCAACGCCGCGUGAGUGAUGAAGGGCUUCGGAUCGUAAAACUCUGUUAUUAGGGAAGAACAUAUGUGUAAGUAACUGUGCACAUCUUGACGGUACCUAAUCAGAAAGCCACGGCUAACUACGU